CCCAACCAUCCCUCCUGGUUUCCAGCUCAGAACUGAUGUGGAAACAUGGGUUCACUCUUGUGUUGUGAUUGUCUCACUGGUAUGUGACUAUUCAGUAGGCAUUCAAAAGGUUAUGUCUGUGAUGUGAGGUCUUGAGGAGGGUGGAUGUAGCAGUGAGAUCUUCAAGAGGGUGGAUAUAAGAGUGAGGUCAUUGUUUUCCCUAUUAAAAAGACACUUUUCAGGCACAAGAAGUAUCUUUAAUUGCAUUUUUUCCUCCAUUUAAAAGAAAUAAAGCCUUUGGCAGCGCAAUCCCACUGGAGGGUGGAGGAUGGAAGGGACUACACUGAGUUUCAUCUCCAACUUUUAUGGCAACUGAUGCAGCUGAGGCCUGUUUAUCCCAGGGUGGGGUUCCCCAGUGCUUCCAAGACUCGCUGCUCCCUGUUCCACACUGGAUUCCUUCCCUUCCUGCUUCCCAAGUAUCCUGCAGUUUGGGUUGGGGCUGAGCUGGUGUCAGUCCUCACCAGAUGAGGAGCUGCAUGAAGCAGAACAUUGGCAGCUUUUUGUUCAGUGGUUCACUUCUGAAGCCUGUGAUAAAAGUGGUGCUUGGAGCCUGCUCUGCUGUUUGGCAUCUUCAUUCCAUCAACCCAGACCCCCAGGAAUCACCCCCUGGAGACCAUCAGCAACUACACUUCCUCCUGGGAUUCAUCUACCAAGCCUGUUGUGAUGGUUCCUCGGUGUCUCCAACGUCCUGGAGUAACCAAAGGUGUGAAGCUGGGUUUGGUUUUGACUGUCUGUAAUGGUAACAAGUGUUCCUCUGCCACCAGCACCCUGCCCAUGCUGCCACCUCAUCCACACUCAGCUCUUGUGCUGUGUUGUCAUCUGUCCUGUGCUUUCCAGGCCUGUGUUCCUCAAAGGAGCUGCAUCAGAGGAUGACACCGUGGCUAAACCAGUGACUCAGCGCAGGCAUUUCCUAUUGAAGGUGGGUGUCCCCUCCAGCAGGGUGUGGUUGACUGGUGGAAGGUGAAGCACCUUGCCUGUCACCUGCAGGAAGUGAUGGAGGUCAACAGCAACAUGCAGAGAUGCAGGUAAUGUCUAGCACCCAAAAAAGUCCCACCAGGAGGGGUGCUGCUCUGGAGCUGUCAAGUGAUUCCCUGGAUGCAGCAGAAGGGCUGAGGAUGCUUCUCCUCCUCCUCCAAAUGAAGAUCUGCUGUGGCAGGAAUUGAAUAAGGAAUGUUCCAACCAGGAGUAGAAAGUGUUUGAGAAAGGAAGGGAGUAAUCAUCAAGGAAGAUCAUUCUAAAGGCUGGUUUUGCCUUAAAGGAAAGCAAAAGGACUUGCAGAAGAGAUCCAGUUCUUGGGGCUGAAGUGGAAGGAUGGACAUCAUCACAUCCCCGUGGAUAGGGUCCAUAAUAUCACAUCCAUGUCCUCAGCAACUGACAAAGGAAUUGCUGCUUCCCUGGUGUGUGGGUCUCUGAGGAAUGUGAACUAGGAGCCUUGAGCAGUAAAACCCUGGGGAGACCUGAGGCCUUUGGGAAUGAAUCAGUGGAUUGUGUUGCUUUGUGAUGCUGGCUCCAGCUGGGGUGGAGCCUGAGGUGUAGGUAAGCACUGAUGGGUUGGCUCUUGGUGGACAGGGUUUGGGCAGCAUCAGGGCUUUAUUCCUGUGCCCCAUAGCAAGUGGAAGGAUGGGCAGAUGAGAAACUUAUGUAGUUCAAGCAGGACAAGUGUCAGGUCUUGCCCCUGGAUAACCACAAUCCCAGAGUACAGCAGAGGCUGGGAUAUGCCUAGAUGGGAGCAGCUCUGGAAAGGGAUGUGGUGGACACAAGCUCCAUAGGAGUGACCAGCGUGUGGCUGCAGCA
This is a long non-coding RNA of Neopsephotus bourkii (Bourke's parrot), 1833 nucleotides long. RefSeq lists it as uncharacterized. NCBI's taxonomy places the organism in Eukaryota, Metazoa, Chordata, Aves, Psittaciformes, Psittacidae. The record is from RefSeq and is a predicted model, not a curated record. The transcript is spliced from 2 exons.